Molecule: unclassified non-coding RNA, 96 nt
Filed under: Pannonibacter indicus
Lineage: Bacteria; Pseudomonadati; Pseudomonadota; Alphaproteobacteria; Hyphomicrobiales; Stappiaceae
Description: microRNA mir-598
Source: RNAcentral
CUCUCGAAAUCAUCAUGGUGGUGAUCAUGGUCAUCAUCGUGAUCGUGAUCAUGGUCAUCAUCGUGAUCGUGAUCGUGGUCAUCAUCAUGAUGGUGG